This 253-nucleotide ribosomal RNA is filed under the name uncultured bacterium. Its description in RNAcentral is "partial 16S ribosomal RNA". It matches the Rfam family "Bacterial small subunit ribosomal RNA", at positions 524 to 776 of the family's 1533-position model. The record is from RNAcentral.
UACGGGGGGGGCAAGCGUUGUUCGGAAUUACUGGGCGUAAAGGGCUCGUAGGUGGCCAACUAAGUCAGACGUGAAAUCCCUCGGCUUAACCGGGGAACUGCGUCUGAUACUGGAUGGCUUGAGUGUGGGAGAGGGAUGCGGAAUUCCAGGUGUAGCGGUGAAAUGCGUAGAUAUCUGGAGGAACACCGGUGGCGAAGGCGGCUUUCUGGACGACAACUGACGCUGAGACGCGAAAGCGUGGGGAGCAAACAGG